RNAcentral lists this ribosomal RNA (510 nucleotides) under uncultured bacterium. Its description in RNAcentral is "bacterial SSU rRNA". It matches the Rfam family "Bacterial small subunit ribosomal RNA", at positions 28 to 520 of the family's 1533-position model. The record is from RNAcentral.
GACGAACGCUGGCGGCGUGCCUAAUACAUGCAAGUCGAGCGGACUUGUAGGAGCUUGCUCCUGCAGGUUAGCGGCGGACGGGUGAGUAACACGUGGGCAACCUACCUGUAAGACUGGGAUAACUUCGGGAAACCGGAGCUAAUACCGGAUGACAUAAAGGAACUCCUGUUCCUUUAUUGAAAGAUGGCUUCGGCUAUCACUUACAGAUGGGCCCGCGGCGCAUUAGCUAGUUGGUGAGGUAACGGCUCACCAAGGCGACGAUGCGUAGCCGACCUGAGAGGGUGAUCGGCCACACUGGGACUGAGACACGGCCCAGACUCCUACGGGAGGCAGCAGUAGGGAAUCUUCCGCAAUGGACGAAAGUCUGACGGAGCAACGCCGCGUGAACGAUGAAGGCCUUCGGGUCGUAAAGUUCUGUUGUUAGGGAAGAACAAGUGCUAGUUAAAUAAGCUGGCACCUUGACGGUACCUAACCAGAAAGCCACGGCUAACUACGUGCCAGCCGCCGCAG